Molecule: ribosomal RNA, 490 nt
Filed under: uncultured bacterium
Lineage: Bacteria
Description: partial 16S ribosomal RNA
Rfam family: Bacterial small subunit ribosomal RNA
Source: RNAcentral
AGUGAACGCUGGCGGUAGGCCUAACACAUGCAAGUCGAACGGCAGCACAGUAAGAGCUUGCUCUUACGGGUGGCGAGUGGCGGACGGGUGAGGAAUACAUCGGAAUCUACUUUUUCGUGGGGGAUAACGUAGGGAAACUUACGCUAAUACCGCAUACGACCUACGGGUGAAAGCAGGGGAUCUUCGGACCUUGCGCGAUUGAAUGAGCCGAUGUCGGAUUAGCUAGUUGGCGGGGUAAAGGCCCCAAGGCGACGAUCCGUAGCUGGUCUGAGAGGAUGAUCAGCCACACUGGAACUGAGACACGGUCCAGACUCCUACGGGAGGCAGCAGUGGGGAAUAUUGGACAAUGGGCGCAAGCCUGAUCCAGCCAUACCGCGUGGGUGAAGAAGGCCUUCGGGUUGUAAAGCCCUUUUGUUGGGGAAGAAAAGCAGCAGGUUAAUACCCCGCUGUUCUGACGGUACCCAAAGAAUAAGCACCGGCUAACUUCGUG